Molecule: long non-coding RNA, 546 nt
Filed under: Panax ginseng (ginseng)
Lineage: Eukaryota; Viridiplantae; Streptophyta; Magnoliopsida; Apiales; Araliaceae
Description: long non-coding RNA (PGIN_LNC003740)
Source: RNAcentral
AGCUUCAUUUGUAAUUGCGUUUACAUGUGACUAUUAUAUUGCUUAGCGGAAAAUAUUUGGAGGCAAGUUCGUUUUUUUUUCUUUUUCUGUUUUUUGAGGUCCUGCCUUAUUUCUUGUUUCCUUAAUGUUGUGGACCUUGGCUGACUUCACCAUUCUAAAUACCUUUUAAAAUCAGGUACUACUCCUAGUACUAUUACAAACAAAGAAUGGGAAGCAGAGACAGCUGACAAAAAGUUCCAGGCAUGGACUCGUACUGCUGGUUUUGAUUCAGCUGAUCAUUUGUUUCUUUCUUUUUCUCCCUCCAUGUAGUGUUACAUGUAUGAACUGUUCAACUGCAGGCGCGGUAACUGGAGCUAUAACUACUCCCCUUGAUGAACAUUUUCUUGGUGAACAUAGUAGUAAUUUAUAUUGAAAAGUAAAUUUGAGAUGUAUAUAUGGAUAUUUUGGUAUAUAUUUUAUGGAUAUAGUAAUUUGAAACUGUAAACGAAUAGUAAUUUUGGGAUGUAUUUUGAAUGGUUGCCAUAUUUUGGCUUAAAUUUAAAUGAG